GCAAGUCGAGGGGUAAAAGGAGUGCUUGCACUCGCUGACGACCGGCGCACGGGUGCGAAACGCGUAUAGAACCUCCUUUUACAGAGGAAUAGCCUUUAGAAAUGAAGAUUAAUCCUCAUGGAAUUGAGUUUUGGCAUCAGAACUUAAUUAAAGAUUUAUCGGUAAAAGAUGGCUAUGCGUCCCAUUAGCUAGAUGGUAAGGUAACGGCUUACCAUGGCGAUGAUAGUUAGGGGUCCUGAGAGGGAGAUC
Molecule: ribosomal RNA, 249 nt
Filed under: uncultured bacterium
Lineage: Bacteria
Description: partial 16S ribosomal RNA
Rfam family: Bacterial small subunit ribosomal RNA
Source: RNAcentral